Camelus ferus (Wild Bactrian camel) is the source of this 71-nucleotide transfer RNA. It matches the Rfam family "tRNA". Rfam says of the family: Transfer RNA (tRNA) molecules are approximately 80 nucleotides in length. Their secondary structure includes four short double-helical elements and three loops (D, anti-codon, and T loops). Lineage: Eukaryota; Metazoa; Chordata; Mammalia; Artiodactyla; Camelidae. The record is from Rfam.
GCCGGUAUAGCUUAGUGGUAGAGCACAUACUUAGCAUGCAUGGGGUUCUGGUUCAGUCCCCAGUACCUCCA